CUGCCCAAUGAGGUUUUAAAUGGCCGCGGUAUUUUGACCGUGCAAAGGUAGCAUAAUCAUUAGUUUUUUAAUUGAAAGCUGGUAUGAAAGGUUGGAUGAGAAAAUAACUGUCUCUAUUUAAAUUUUAAAGAAUUUUAUUUUUAAGUAAAAAAGCUUAAAUGUUGAUAGAAGACGAGAAGACCCUAUAGAGUUUUAUUAUUUUUUUAAAGUAAAUUUUUAGGAUUAAAAUAAUUGAUUUUAAAAAAAUAAUUUAGUUGGGGUGAUUGAAAAAUUAAAUAAACUUUUUUUUUAUUUAAACAUUGAUUUAUGAAUAAUUGAUCCUUAGUUUAAGAUUAAAAGAUAAAAUUACCUUAGGGAUAACAGCGUAAUUUUUCUAAAGAGUUCAAAUCGAAAGAAAAGAUUGCGACCUCGAUGUUGGAUUAAAAUAAAAUUUUGGUGUAGGAGCUAAGAAUUUUGGGUCUGUUCGACCCUUAAAAUUUUACAUGAUCUGAGUUUAAACCGGUGU
RNAcentral lists this ribosomal RNA (505 nucleotides) under Leptopius sp. 3 MVD-2017. RNAcentral's name for it is "partial 16S ribosomal RNA". It matches the Rfam family "Bacterial large subunit ribosomal RNA", at positions 1859 to 2622 of the family's 2925-position model. Lineage: Eukaryota; Metazoa; Arthropoda; Insecta; Coleoptera; Curculionidae. The record is from RNAcentral.